UACGUAGGGGGCGAGCGUUGUCCGGAAUUAUUGGGCGUAAAGAGCUCGUAGGCGGUUUGUCGCGUCGAAUGUGAAAACCCGGGGCUCAACCCCGGGCCUGCAUUCGAUACGGGCAGACUAGAGUUCGGUAGGGGAGUCUGGAAUUCCUGGUGUAGCGGUGAAAUGCGCAGAUAUCAGGAGGAACACCGGUGGCGAAGGCGGGUCUCUGGGCCGAUACUGACGCUGAGGAGCGAAAGCGUGGGGAGCGAACAGG
RNAcentral lists this ribosomal RNA (253 nucleotides) under uncultured bacterium. RNAcentral's name for it is "partial 16S ribosomal RNA". It matches the Rfam family "Bacterial small subunit ribosomal RNA", at positions 524 to 776 of the family's 1533-position model. The record is from RNAcentral.